Long non-coding RNA from Gossypium raimondii (Peruvian cotton), 1083 nucleotides. RefSeq lists it as uncharacterized. NCBI's taxonomy places the organism in Eukaryota, Viridiplantae, Streptophyta, Magnoliopsida, Malvales, Malvaceae. The record is from RefSeq and is a predicted model, not a curated record. The transcript has 3 exons.
AAGCCGAAACUAAGCUAGGAAGAACUCAACCAUGGCCUUUAAGGUUUCGACAAUUGCUUGGUUUAAUUGAGAUCAAGAAACGAAGAAAACGAAUUUGGAUCGGGGAAAAACGAAAGUAAUCGAGUAGUCAAUCGUGUCCGUCGAUAUCCGAGGCUUAAUGUCUAGCAGGCUUGAUGCCGGUGAAUUAUUUCAGACUUUAUGUCUAGCAGGCUUGAUGCCGGUGAAUUACUUCAGACUUUAUGUGUAGCAGGCUUGAUGCCAGUGAAUUACUUCAGACUUUAUGUCUAGUAGGCUUGAUGCCGGUGAAUUAUUUCAGACUUAUUGUCUAGCAGGCUUCAUGCUGGUGUACUUCAGUAAGCUUUAGACUUAACAGACUUCGUGUUGGUAUGUCAUUUAAAGAUACGUGCUUAGAAAUUUUUAAUGUGAAUGCGAUGUCAAAAGGGAUUGUGAGGUAUAAUAAUCAGGUAUGCGUUAUGUCUAAACUCAUCUGAUGAUUAAGUAAGUACAUUUGGUUGAUUGUAUUUAACAAAAGGAUACUUAUAUGUGUAUAUAUAUUUGACGAAUAUAUGCGGCAUUAUGCUAAUGACAGGUGCAAGAUUGAAAGUUUAUUUAAUGUGAAAUAGUUAUGACUGAUAUGUAGUAAGAUUAAUGAAUGUUUUGAUAAUGCUUAUAUGUUGUAUUCGACUUUAAUUAAAAUAUCUAAGAAAUUGUUUCAUUCAAUAAAAUAUAUUAUAUUUUGCUCAAGACUUACUAAGUCAAGAUAGCUUACUUUGUAUUGUCUUUUAUUUGUUUUUGUUUUAUAGAUUUUUCUUUGAGAUUGCUACGUACUCGGGGAUCGUCAGCAAAGUUUAUCACACUAUCGACAAUUUCUUUUGGUAUUUCACUAAGUUGUUUUUGAGUAUAUGGCAUGUAUAGUUUAGUUGAAAGGUUGAUUUUGGUUUAAGUACUUAUUAAUGUAAUCAAAAGUCAUGUGAAAAAUGGCUUACUUGUUUGAUCUAUUUUGGUGUCUAUGCAUAUGGUUUUAAUAGUCAUUAAAAUAGAGUUUAUAAUUGUACAUAUUAAAGUUAGUUUUAAUAACUUAUC